GACGGAGGAUGCAAGUGUUAUCCGGAAUCACUGGGCGUAAAGCGUCUGUAGGUGGUUUAAAAAGUCUACUGUUAAAAAUUGAAAGCUUAACUUCAAAGAUGCCGUAGAAACUUUUAAACUUGAGGAUGGUAGGGGUAGAGGGAAUUUCCAGUGGAGCGGUGAAAUGCGUAGAUCUUGGAAAGACCACCAAUGGCGAAGGCACUCUACUGGGCCAUGACUGACACUAAGAGACGAAAGCUAGGGGAGCAAAUGGG
RNAcentral lists this ribosomal RNA (254 nucleotides) under uncultured bacterium. RNAcentral's name for it is "partial 16S ribosomal RNA". It matches the Rfam family "Bacterial small subunit ribosomal RNA", at positions 524 to 776 of the family's 1533-position model. The record is from RNAcentral.